CCAGAAAUUACGCAAUAGGAAGACUGAAGACUGCCAGCACUUCUGUGAUUCCUGCUGCUGGCUGGGGCACGAGGGAAGUCCUCCUGAUGAUCCCAAGGUCCCAUCCUCAGUGGAAGAACAGCCUUGGUGUUGAAGGCAGAGGGUGAAGGUGUCAUCAGUGAGAGAUGAGAAGACUACAGCCAAUUGAGAUUGUUGCUGUGUAAAUCCACUCGGGCCCCAAUCAUGACAUGUGAGAUUUUUCCAGGCAGUGAAGACAAUUUCAAAGAUCCACAUUUGAGCUCUAACCAAACAAGCAAUUGAAUAAAAAAUAAACAGUCAUAAAAAAUAAAAUCUCUGCUUAUAUGAGA
This is a non-coding RNA of Lonchura striata (white-rumped munia), 347 nucleotides long. Lineage: Eukaryota; Metazoa; Chordata; Aves; Passeriformes; Estrildidae. The record is from RefSeq and is a predicted model, not a curated record.